Molecule: RNA transcript, 755 nt
Organism: Fragaria vesca subsp. vesca
Lineage: Eukaryota; Viridiplantae; Streptophyta; Magnoliopsida; Rosales; Rosaceae
Exons: 3
Source: RefSeq, a predicted model, not a curated record
UCCCAGCAAGAUGUGAAAAAACUAAUUAACCUUCUCCUUUGAGAAUCUCGCCGCCUCUUCUCCCGGUAAAAAGAAACAGUUGGGUUCCAGAUCUGGAAGCAGCGAUGGAAAAGGCUACACGGCAUCCGAUGAUUCAGAUCUACGGCAUUAGGAGCUCGAAGAUACCAACCCCCGUACAAAUACUCCACUUAUGCACAAAAUUUCUUGAGGCAUUUCAAAGCAGUUGAUGCUCCCAUCCUGGUGACUUCAUCAUAUUGAUCAACCCCUGCAUCAUAUGCAAGCAUUCGUAACGCACCUAUCAUUUUUUGUUCUGGGAGCAAUCCCAGCUUUCUUGUGACAUUUGGCUUCUGUUUCCAAAAAUCGUCGAAAUUGCAAAGGUCCGCCAUGAUGCGAUUGAAUACUGGUUUUUGCAUUUGAUAACGCUGACAAAAAAUUGUGUUGCUAUACACUAGACGCUCGACAAAGUAAUCCUUCAUCAUGUUAGCCCCUCUUGAUUGCCUGUGUCUUUCGACGUUAUAGGCACAACCAAGUCGUGAACCACGACCUUAAGGAGUCUGCAUCUGCAUAUGGUGAUAUUGGGCAACCAAUGCAGCGGCUUGAGCAUUGUUGGACCGAAUCUGCAUAAUAUGCUCUUCAUCUUCUUCAUCUCUCGCUCUCAAAUAAUUUCUAGUACAAUCCAUGAAAAUGGUGAGAAGUGAAAUAGAUGAUGAUAUCUGAGUUUAGAAGGAGGAGAUGAAUGUGUGAAUGUAGAAUGA